UCGACCUCCGCCUACAGCCGACCGACGACGCACGGUGGGAACAACUGCACCCCUUGGCCCUUGCGUGUGAGGCGCCACUAUGCCAAAAUGGUGCUACACCACCUCAUCCGCCCCAGGAAGGCAGGAAUCGAGCUCCGCCGACAAGAGAUGGACAGCCGGAGCAUCUGAGAGUUGGUGGCCAGACAUGGUGCCACCACCUCGAACCCACCUACAGUCGCAGGUUGUGGCAGAUCCAUGGAGGAAAUCGAAUACGACGCAGCCCCAGCUCCAGCAUCAACCUAGCCUUCGUGAGUGCGAGGUAAUCAGGUAGGCAUAGCGAUGUGCCUACUUGACACGAGGAGAGAAUUCAUCAAUCAGAAGUUAGCCCGCACAUAACCAUGGCUGAUAUGAGGAUCCCCUUGCUCUACUAUCCACAACAAUAAAACAUUUACCGGGCGGCUCUGCCCGUGAUAUCACGCCUCACGGCUCACGGUAGCUACAAGGUGUAAUUUUUGAUUGUAAUCUGGGGACAUAACCGCUCAAUUCCCAGAAAUGUAUUGAUUUUCUUUCUGGGAAUUUCGUUUUGGA
Molecule: long non-coding RNA, 567 nt
Organism: Lolium perenne
Lineage: Eukaryota; Viridiplantae; Streptophyta; Magnoliopsida; Poales; Poaceae
Source: RefSeq, a predicted model, not a curated record